UGGUGGGAGCGAUUUGUCUGGUUAAUUCCGAUAACGAACGAGACUCCGGCCUAUUAACUAGUCGACGGAUCUCCAGCCAUUGGUGUCCAGUUCGCAACUUCUUCUUAGAGGGACUAGCGGCAUUCUAGCCGCACGAGAUUGAGCAAUAACA
This 151-nucleotide ribosomal RNA is filed under the name uncultured eukaryote. RNAcentral describes it as "partial 18S ribosomal RNA". It matches the Rfam family "Eukaryotic small subunit ribosomal RNA", at positions 1299 to 1458 of the family's 1831-position model. The record is from RNAcentral.